CCUACGGGAGGCAGCAGUGAGGAAUAUUGGUCAAUGGACGAGAGUCUGAACCAGCCAAGUAGCGUGAAGGAUGACUGCCCUAUGGGUUGUAAACUUCUUUUAUAAAGGAAUAAAACGAGGCACGUGUGCCGUUUUGCAUGUACUUUAUGAAUAAGGAUCGGCUAACUCCGUGCCAGCAGCCGCGGUAAUACGGAGGAUCCGAGCGUUAUCCGGAUUUAUUGGGUUUAAAGGGAGCGUAGGUGGAUUGUUAAGUCAGUUGUGAAAGUUUGCGGCUCAACCGUAAAAUUGCAGUUGAAACUGGCAGUCUUGAGUACAGUAGAGGUGGGCGGAAUUCGUGGUGUAGCGGUGAAAUGCUUAGAUAUCACGAAGAACUCCGAUUGCGAAGGCAGUUCACUGGACUGCAACUGACACUGAGGCUCGAAAGUGUGGGUAUCAAACAGGAUUAGAUACCCGGGUAGUC
This 460-nucleotide ribosomal RNA is filed under the name uncultured bacterium. Its description in RNAcentral is "partial 16S ribosomal RNA". It matches the Rfam family "Bacterial small subunit ribosomal RNA", at positions 338 to 795 of the family's 1533-position model. The record is from RNAcentral.